RNAcentral lists this unclassified non-coding RNA (326 nucleotides) under uncultured Conocybe. RNAcentral describes it as "sequence contains ITS1". The stretch from base 1 to 79 matches the Rfam family "5.8S ribosomal RNA", at positions 50 to 154 of the family's 154-position model. Lineage: Eukaryota; Fungi; Basidiomycota; Agaricomycetes; Agaricales; Bolbitiaceae. The record is from RNAcentral.
GAAAUGCGAUAAGUAAUGUGAAUUGCAGAAUUCAGUGAAUCAUCCAAUCUGCAAACAUUACAUGCCUGUUUGAGUGUCAUUAAAUUCUCAAUCUCAACAUGCUUGUAAUGUUUGCAGAUUGGAUGGUGGGGGUUAUUGUGGGGUCUUUGACAAGUUCCACUCUCCUGAAAUAUAUUAGCUGGAAUGCCUUUGCAAACCAACUAUCAGUAUGAUAAUUAUCUAUGCUGGAGUUGAUGUGAUAGGGAAUCUGCUUCUUAAUCGUCUUUCACAAAGACAACUUGAACCAUUUUGACCUCAAAUCAGGUAGGACUACCCGCUGAACUUAA